Long non-coding RNA from Lagenorhynchus albirostris (white-beaked dolphin), 2459 nucleotides. RefSeq lists it as uncharacterized. NCBI's taxonomy places the organism in Eukaryota, Metazoa, Chordata, Mammalia, Artiodactyla, Delphinidae. The record is from RefSeq and is a predicted model, not a curated record. The transcript is spliced from 5 exons.
AAAAAAUCGAGCUGGGGGGUUCCCUGGUCCCUGGCGAUGGGGCGGGGAGCGCGGCGCCAGGGGAGGAGGCGGGCGCGGCAGCGCGGGCCCCGCCGAGAGGGGACACCUGGCUGAGGCACAGCUGCUGCCCGCCGCGCCGCGCCGCGCCGCUCCACGCGAACCCAGGGCUCCGGUCCCUGCGCGGGCUCGAGAGCUCGCCCCGACCGGGGGUCUUUCUCCUCCGCCGUUGACAGGUUUUGACCUUUAGGAGAGAGCCAAUUCUGGAGAACAACCUAACUUCUUUGAUUGAACAUUCACAUAAUGCAUUGGAACAUGAUAGGAGGUUAAGGUGAAUAACAACAAAAUGAAGACCAUAUAAAACAAGCCCCCUACUUAGCCCUGCAAUUCUUACCUUUCUUACCUACUUGAUGAAGAUGUCAUUUGAAUGGUGUACUGCAAGGAAUUAAAUGCUGUUUGUAAAUUAUGCUUUUACCAAGGUUUAAGUUGAUGCCAAAUAAUUCCAAUAUUGAGCAUCUUAAAUCUGUUACUUGGAGUAUGGAUUGAGUUUGGAGCUAACUCAGAGGACUACAGGCAAGUAUUCAGGAGGUAGUCAGAGGGAUAAUCGUAAUAGUUGAACAAUUCAGCUUGCAUACUAUAUUCAACUUCAAGUCUCUUAAGAUCACAUAUAUGUGAAAGUAGAAUUGACAAUUUGAUCAUAGACUAAAUGCCAUAUUUAACAGUAAAGAUUUUCUUCAAUCAAUUAUGUAACCUUUUAAUUGUUAUAGAAUUAGAGGUGUUUUUAAGCCACCAGGUAUCAUUACUGAUAUAUGUUCAGGUUAGCCAUAACUGGAUUAGCAAGAUUAUACUUUAAUAAACUAUGAUUUCUAAGUUAAUGUAUUUACUUAUUUAGAAGUUGACAUUCUAAAUCAAUUUUUUUUUCCUUUUGCAGGUGGAUAUUACUAUCCCUUAUUCAUGGAAAAAGUUAUAUUCUAAGUGUUGUUUCUCAUUGAGUAUUAGCAAAAAGGAGAAAAAUUAAUGUCCUAAACUUUUGAGAUAGAUUUGGCUCUAGUAAGUAUUUAGAUCUGUUAUUAAUAGGGUUGGCCAAAAAGUUCGUUCGGUUUUUUCCCAUAAGAUGGCUCUAGUAGUGAGCUCUUAGUUGUCUUUAACUUCAUUCGAAACAGUUUUGUUAGGUUGUAUUGUGACAGCUGUCAUACCAGAGUGCAUUUAAAAAAAUAUAUCAAAAUUGGUGAAUUUUUGUGUAGCCAUUUUAGUAUUGAAGAUGGAAGAAAAAAGCAAUAUUUUCGGCAUAUUAUUGCUUUAUUAUUUCAAGAAAGGUAAAAACACAACUGAAACGCAAAAAAAAGAUUCGUGCAUUGUGUGGAGAAAUUGCUGUGACUGAUCGAACCUGUCAAAAGUGGUUUGCGAAGUUUUGUGCUGGAGAUUUCUUGCUGGACGAUGCUCCACGGUUGGGUAGACCAGUUGAAGUUGUUAGGGAUCAAAUCAAGACAUUAAUUGAGAACAACCAACGUUAUACCACGUGGAAGAUAGCUGACAUACUCAAAAUAUCCAAAUCAAGCUUUGAAAAUCAUUUGCAGCAGCUUGGUUAUGUUAAUCGCUUUGAUGUUUGGGUUCCACAUAAGUUAAGCGAAAAAAACCUUCCUGACCUUAUUUCCGCGUGUGAUUCUCUACUUAAACGUAACGAAAACAUUCCGUUUUUAAAACAAAUUGUGACGGGCAAUGAAAAGUGGAUACUGUACAAUAAUGUGGAACAGAAGAGAUCGUGGGGCAAGUGAAAUGAACCACCACCAACCACCCCAAAGUCCGGUCUUCAUCCAAAGAAGGUGACGUUGUGUAUUUGGUGGAAUUGGAAGGGAGUCCCCUCUUAUGAGCUCCUUCCAGAAAACCAAUUAAUUCCAAGAAGUACUGCUCCCAGUUAGACCUACUGAAAUCAGCACUCGAUGAAAAGCAUCCAGAAUUACUCAACAGAAAACACAUAAUCUGGGACUUUCCUGGCUGUCCAGUGGUUAAGACUGUGCACCGCAGGGGUGCAGGUCCGAUUCCUGGUCAGGGAACUAAGAUCCCACAUGCCACGCAACGCGGCCAAAAAUAAAUGAAUAAAUUUAAGAAGCAAAAAGAAAGAAAACGUAUAAUCUUCCAUCAGGAUACCGCAAGACUGCAUGUUUCUUUGAUAACUAGGCAAAAAGUGUUACAGCUUGGCUAGGAAGUUCUGAUUCAUCCACCAUAUUCACCAGACAUUGCACCUUCGGGUUUCCAUUUACUUCAGUCUUCACAAAAUUCUCUUAAUGGAAAAAAUUUAAAUUCCCUGCAAGACUAUAAAAGGCACCUAGAAUAGUUCUUUGCUCAAAAAGAUAAAAAAUUUUGGGAAGGAGGAAUUACGAAGUUGCCUGAAAAAUGACAGAAGGUAGUAGAACAAAAGGGCGAAUACGUUGUUCAAUAAAAUUCUUGGUGAAAAUGAAAAA